RNAcentral lists this unclassified non-coding RNA (394 nucleotides) under soil metagenome. Its description in RNAcentral is "partial contains 5.8S ribosomal RNA, internal transcribed spacer 2, and large subunit ribosomal RNA". The stretch from base 1 to 122 matches the Rfam family "5.8S ribosomal RNA", at positions 35 to 154 of the family's 154-position model. The record is from RNAcentral.
GAUGAAGAACGUAGCGAAAUGCGAUACUUGGUGUGAAUUGCAGAAUCCCGUGAACCAUCGAGUCUUUGAACGCAAGUUGCGCCCGAAGCCAUCAGGUUGAGGGCACGUCUGCCUGGGCGUCACAUAUCGUUGCCCAAUGCCUAUUGCAGUGCAAUAGGAAUUUCUAGGGCGAAUGAUGGCUUCCCGUGAGCGUUGUUGCCUCGCGGUUGGUUGAAAAUCGAGUCCUUGGUAGGGUGUGCCAUGGUAGAUGGUGGUCGAGUUAGAACGAUACCGAUCAUGUGCAUGCUCCCCAAAAUAUGGCCUCUAUGACCCACACGCGUCUUUUGACGCUCAUGACGAGACCUCAGGUCAGGCGGGGCUACCCGCUGAAUUUAAGCAUAUCAAUAAGCGGAGA